UGGGGAAUCAUGGUCAAUGGGCGAAAGCCUGAACCUGCGACGCCGCGUGAGUGAUGAAGGCCCUAGGGUUGUAAAGCUCUUUUGGCGGGGAAGAUAAUGACGGUACCCGCAGAAUAAGCCCCGGCUAACUUCGUGCCAGCAGCCGCGGUAAUACGAAGGGGGCUAGCGUUGCUCGGAAUCACUGGGCGUAAAGCGCACGUAGGCGGAUUCUUAAGUCAGAGGUGAAAGCCUGGAGCUCAACUCCAGAACUGCCUUUGAUACUGGGAGUCUCGAGUUCGGGAGAGGUGAGUGGAACUGCGAGUGUAGAGGUGAAAUUCGUAGAUAUUCGCAAGAACACCAGUGGCGAAGGCGGCUCACUGGCCCGAUACUGACGCUGAGGUGCGAAAGCGUGGGGAUCGAACA
This 402-nucleotide ribosomal RNA is filed under the name uncultured prokaryote. RNAcentral describes it as "bacterial SSU rRNA". It matches the Rfam family "Bacterial small subunit ribosomal RNA", at positions 355 to 774 of the family's 1533-position model. The record is from RNAcentral.